GACGAACGCUGGCGGCGUGCCUAAUACAUGCAAGUCGAACGCACUUUCGUUAGAUUGAAGAAGCUUGCUUCUGAUUGAUAACAUUUGAGUGAGUGGCGGACGGGUGAGUAACACGUGGGUAACCUGCCCUAAAGUGGGGGAUAACAUUUGGAAACAGAUGCUAAUACCGCAUAAAACCUAGCACUGCAUGGUGCAAGGUUGAAAGAUGGUUUCGGCUAUCACUUUAGGAUGGACCCGCGGUGCAUUAGUUAGUUGGUGAGGUAAAGGCUCACCAAGACCGUGAUGCAUAGCCGACCUGAGAGGGUAAUCGGCCACACUGGGACUGAGACACGGCCCAGACUCCUACGGGAGGCAGCAGUAGGGAAUCUUCCACAAUGGACGAAAGUCUGAUGGAGCAACGCCGCGUGAGUGAAGAAGGUUUUCGGAUCGUAAAACUCUGUUGUUGGAGAAGAACGUAUUUGAUAGUAACUGAUCAGGUAGUGACGGUAUCCAACCAGAAAGCCACGGCUAACUACGUG
RNAcentral lists this ribosomal RNA (518 nucleotides) under Latilactobacillus curvatus. RNAcentral describes it as "bacterial SSU rRNA". It matches the Rfam family "Bacterial small subunit ribosomal RNA", at positions 28 to 507 of the family's 1533-position model. Lineage: Bacteria; Bacillati; Bacillota; Bacilli; Lactobacillales; Lactobacillaceae. The record is from RNAcentral.